This 458-nucleotide ribosomal RNA is filed under the name uncultured Enterobacteriaceae bacterium. RNAcentral's name for it is "bacterial SSU rRNA". It matches the Rfam family "Bacterial small subunit ribosomal RNA", at positions 923 to 1382 of the family's 1533-position model. Lineage: Bacteria; Pseudomonadati; Pseudomonadota; Gammaproteobacteria; Enterobacterales; Enterobacteriaceae. The record is from RNAcentral.
GCACAAGCGGUGGAGCAUGUGGUUAAUUCGAUGCAACGCGAAGAACCUUACCUGGUCUUGACAUCCACAGAACUUUCCAGAGAUGGAUUGGUGCCUUCGGGAACUGUGAGACAGGUGCUGCAUGGCUGUCGUCAGCUCGUGUUGUGAAAUGUUGGGUUAAGUCCCGCAACGAGCGCAACCCUUAUCCUUUGUUGCCAGCGGUCCGGCCGGGAACUCAAAGGAGACUGCCAGUGAUAAACUGGAGGAAGGUGGGGAUGACGUCAAGUCAUCAUGGCCCUUACGACCAGGGCUACACACGUGCUACAAUGGCGCAUACAAAGAGAAGCGACCUCGCGAGAGCAAGCGGACCUCAUAAAGUGCGUCGUAGUCCGGAUUGGAGUCUGCAACUCGACUCCAUGAAGUCGGAAUCGCUAGUAAUCGUGGAUCAGAAUGCCACGGUGAAUACGUUCCCGGGCCUU